RNAcentral lists this ribosomal RNA (253 nucleotides) under uncultured bacterium. RNAcentral describes it as "partial 16S ribosomal RNA". It matches the Rfam family "Bacterial small subunit ribosomal RNA", at positions 524 to 776 of the family's 1533-position model. The record is from RNAcentral.
UACGUAGGGACCAAGCGUUGUCCGGAAUCAUUGGGCGUAAAGAGCGUGUAGGCGGCUUGUUAAGUCUUGCGUGAAAUCUCGGGGCUCAACCCCGAGCGGUCGUGAGAAACUGGCAGGCUAGAGUGCGGGAGAGGAGAGUGGAGUUCCUGGUGUAGCGGUGAAAUGCGCAGAUAUCAGGAAGAACACCUAUGGCGAAGGCAGCACUCUGGGACGGUACUGACGCUGAGACGCGAAAGCGUGGGGAGCGAACAGG